GAUGAACGCUGGCGGCGUGCCUAAUACAUGCAAGUCGAGCGAACAGACGAGGAGCUUGCUCCUCUGACGUUAGCGGCGGACGGGUGAGUAACACGUGGAUAACCUACCUAUAUGACUGGGAUAACUUCGGGAAACCGGAGCUAAUACCGGAUAAUAUAUUGAACCGCAUGGUUCAAUAGUGAAAGACGGUUUUGCUGUCUCUUAUAGAUGGAUCCGCGCCGCAUUAGCUAGUUGGUAAGGUAACGGCUUACCAAGGCAACGAUGCGUAGCCGACCUGAGAGGGUGAUCGGCCACACUGGAACUGAGACACGGUCCAGACUCCUACGGGAGGCAGCAGUAGGGAAUCUUCCGCAAUGGGCGAAAGCCUGACGGAGCAACGCCGCGUGAGUGAUGAAGGUCUUCGGAUCGUAAAGCUCUGUUAUUAGGGAAGAACAAAUGUGUAAGUAACUAUGCACGUCUUGACGGUACCUAAUCAGAAAGCAACGGCUAACUACGUG
Molecule: ribosomal RNA, 497 nt
Filed under: uncultured bacterium
Lineage: Bacteria
Description: partial 16S ribosomal RNA
Rfam family: Bacterial small subunit ribosomal RNA
Source: RNAcentral